RNAcentral lists this Y RNA (102 nucleotides) under Microcebus murinus (gray mouse lemur). RNAcentral describes it as "Y RNA (ENSMICG00000044278.1)". It matches the Rfam family "Y RNA". From Rfam's summary of the family: Y RNAs are components of the Ro ribonucleoprotein particle (Ro RNP), in association with Ro60 and La proteins. The Y RNAs and Ro60 and La proteins are well conserved, but the function of the Ro RNP is not known. In humans the RNA component can be one of four small RNAs -- hY1, hY3, hY4 and hY5. Lineage: Eukaryota; Metazoa; Chordata; Mammalia; Primates; Cheirogaleidae. The record is from Rfam by way of RNAcentral.
GGUUGAUCUGCAUGCAGUGGUGUUUACAGCUGGUUUAUCACAACCAGUUACAGAUUCCUUUGUUCCUUCUCCACUCCUACUGCUUUGCUUGACCAGCCUUUA